RNAcentral lists this long non-coding RNA (908 nucleotides) under Gallus gallus (chicken). The record is from RNAcentral. Lineage: Eukaryota; Metazoa; Chordata; Aves; Galliformes; Phasianidae.
AAGGGACUGUGGGUGAGAAUGAGAGAUCUUUGUUGUUUGUCCAAAUGUGCUGUAACAUCAGAACUUCCAGCCUGUGCCGCAGCAGAAAAGGAGUAUUGGGGAACGUCGGUGGUUUUUGAUUCACGGAGAGUGAAUGUGUGACAUACGUUUCUCACCUGGGAGCCAACACUGGCUGUGGCAGUUUGAUGCACAACAGUUGGUUCCAUUUCCAUUGGUAAUCCGAACACUGCUGCCGGAACUGCACGCUCAGCUUCCCAGAACCGAGUUGGAUUGACACUGGCUCAAGGAGUCCCAAGGCUCAGAGUGCUCCCACAUCCGACGUAACCUUCUCAAGGCACAAAGGUAAGGAGCUUGGAUAUGGCUGGAUAAACUCCGGGUCUUUGGCUUAGCCAGGGCUUUAUGUGGAGGGAAUCCUAUGUUCACAGUCACUCUAAUACAUAACCUUAGAGAAGCUCACAAAGCUCCAAAGUAACCACGAGUCUAAUACAGAAGAUCUGUAUCAAGAAGGAGUCUCGACAUCAAGCUGCGAGUGAUCUCUGUGCAUGUGACCUCGAGAGCCAUCCCUGCUCGAGGGCAGAUCCUGUCGUGCAGUGCACUGCUGUGCAGGAGAGCUCGAGGGGUGCUUGGGCUGCUCCCUGUUUUGGGGUGAGAUGACCGACUCCUUGCCAUGCUUUGUUUUUAGGCACGCUCUCCGUGUGCCCUCAGCUGUUGAAGUGAGUGUCAGCUAUGAGUUCUCUCAGCCCCGCAGUUUGAGACAGCUUUGUGAUGGUUCAUCUCUUUGAGCCAGAGCGUUAGCAGUGCUGUUGCUGGUUGUCUUCCUGUGCCAGGCCUGGUGUGCCAUCCCGGAGGCAGUGCCCUGCAGAUGGGCUGGGGAGGGCUGGGCUGGGACAGGGACUGCUGCGUUGCCU